RNAcentral lists this ribosomal RNA (484 nucleotides) under uncultured bacterium. Its description in RNAcentral is "partial 16S ribosomal RNA". It matches the Rfam family "Bacterial small subunit ribosomal RNA", at positions 29 to 507 of the family's 1533-position model. The record is from RNAcentral.
AUUGAACGCUGGCGGCAUGCUUUACACAUGCAAGUCGAACGGCAGCGCGGGCUUCGGCCUGGCGGCGAGUGGCGAACGGGUGAGUAAUGCAUCGGAACGUGCCCAGUAGUGGGGGAUAGCCCGGCGAAAGCCGGAUUAAUACCGCAUACGACCUGAGGGUGAAAGCGGGGGACCGAAAGGCCUCGCGCUAUUGGAGCGGCCGAUGUCGGAUUAGCUAGUUGGUGGGGUAAAGGCUUACCAAGGCGACGAUCCGUAGCUGGUCUGAGAGGACGACCAGCCACACUGGGACUGAGACACGGCCCAGACUCCUACGGGAGGCAGCAGUGGGGAAUUUUGGACAAAGGGGGCAACCCUGAUCCAGCCAUGCCGCGUGCGGGAAGAAGGCCUUCGGGUUGUAAACCGCUUUUGUUCGGGAAGAAAUACUCUGGGCUAAUACCCCGGGGGGAUGACGGUACCGGAAGAAUAAGCACCGGCUAACUACGUG